UGGGGAAUUGUUCGCAAUGGGCGCAAGCCUGACGACGCAACGCCGCGUGGAGGACGAAGAUUUUCGGAUCGUAAACUCCUUUCGAUCGGGAAGAGCAGCUUUCUAGUUAAUAGCUGGAGAGUCUGACGGUACCGAGAGAAGAAGCCCCGGCUAACUCUGUGCCAGCAGCCGCGGUAAUACAGGGGGGGCAAGCGUUGUUCGGAAUUACUGGGCGUAAAGGGCUCGUAGGCGGCCAACUAAGUCCGACGUGAAAUCCCAAAGCUUAACUUUGGAACUGCGUCGGAUACUGGAUGGCUUGAAAUCGGGAGAGGGAUGCGGAAUUCCAGGUGUAGCGGUGAAAUGCGUAGAUAUCUGGAGGAAUACCGGUGGCGAAGGCGGCAUCCUGGACCGACAUUGACGCUGAUGAGCGAAAGCUAGGGGAGCAAACGG
This 429-nucleotide ribosomal RNA is filed under the name uncultured bacterium. Its description in RNAcentral is "bacterial SSU rRNA". It matches the Rfam family "Bacterial small subunit ribosomal RNA", at positions 355 to 775 of the family's 1533-position model. The record is from RNAcentral.